RNAcentral lists this long non-coding RNA (940 nucleotides) under Musa acuminata (dwarf banana). RNAcentral's name for it is "long non-coding RNA (MACU_LNC011546)". Lineage: Eukaryota; Viridiplantae; Streptophyta; Magnoliopsida; Zingiberales; Musaceae. The record is from RNAcentral.
GAGAAGAAGAAGAAGAGGAAGAGAAGAAGAAGAGGAUGCAGGAGAAGAGGUUGUGAUACCUCUGUUUCCUGCAGAGGAAACAGAGGAGAGGGUGUGUGUGACGCCGGGGAGGAGAAGGGAAGAAGAAGAGGAGAAGAAGAGACGGUAAAGGAGGAGCUGCGGCUGCGGCGGUGGCAGCUGCAGCUGGAAGAGAAGGAGAGGAAGAAAAGAAGGUGAGGAAGAAGAGAAGAAGGAGGAGGAAGAAGAGAAGGGAAAGAAGCAGCUGUGGCUGCGGCUGUGGCAGCUGCAGCUGUGGCUGCGGCUGUGGCAGCAGCAGCUGUGGCAGGGAAAGAGGAAGAGGAAGGAAGAAGGGAAGGAGAGGAAGAAGAGAAGGGGAAGAAGGGGCUGCGGCUGCUGCGAUGGCAGCUGCAGCUAGACGAGAAAAAGGAGAGGAAGAUGAGCAGGGGAGGAAGAAGAGGUUGCGGCCGUGGCUGCGGCCGCGACUGCAGCAGUUGCAGCUGGGAAAGAAGAGAAGGAAAGGAAGAAGAAGAGAAAGGGAAGGAGAGGAAGAAGAGAGGAAGAGGAGAAGGGGUGGCAGCUGCGGCAGUGGCAGCUGCAGCCGGAAGAGAAGGAGAGGAAAUAGAGCAGGGGAGGAAGAAGAGGCUGCGGCUGUGGUGCUGCGGCCAUGGCUGCGACUGCGACUGCGGCAGUUGCAGCUGGGAAAGAAAAGAAAGAAAGGGGGGAAAAAGAGGCUGCGGUCAGGAUUGCGGCCGCGGCGGCAGCGGCUGCGUCUGCGACAACUACGUUUGGAAAAGAAAACGAAGGAAUGAGAGUAAGAGAGAGCAGGUGAUUGUGCCUCGAUGAUCGGCACAAGUUGUAGUUGCGGAGAAAGAAAGAAAACGAGUGUAGAAAACGAAACAGGGAGAGGAGACGGAGGAAAAGUAGAAAAAGGAUUCGAGCG